CCUACGGGAGGCUGCAGUGAGGAAUAUUGGUCAAUGGGCGCGAGCCUGAACCAGCCAAGUAGCGUGAAGGAUGACUGCCCUACGGGUUGUAAACUUCUUUUAUAAAGGAAUAAAGUGAGGCACGUGUGACUUUUUGGAUGUACUUUAUGAAUAAGCAUCGGCUAACUCCGUGCCAGCAGCCGCGGUAAUACGGAGGAUCCGAGCGUUAUCCGGAUUUAUUGGGUUUAAAGGGAGCGUAGAUGGGUUGUUAAGUCAGUUGUGAAAGUUUGCGGCUCAACCGUCAAAUUGCAAUUGAUACUGGCAGCCUUGAGUACAGUUGAGGUAGGCGGAAUGCGUGGUGUAGCGGUGAAAUGCUUAGAUAUCACGAAGAACUCCGAUUGCGAAGGCAGCCUACUAACCUGCCACUGACAUUGAUGCUCGAAAGUGUGGGUAUCAAACAGGAUUAGAUACCCUAGUAGUC
This 460-nucleotide ribosomal RNA is filed under the name uncultured bacterium. RNAcentral describes it as "partial 16S ribosomal RNA". It matches the Rfam family "Bacterial small subunit ribosomal RNA", at positions 338 to 795 of the family's 1533-position model. The record is from RNAcentral.